ACCUGGCUGGCUCAUUUGUUAGAGCAUGUGACUCUUGAUCUCAGGAUCACGAGUUCAAGCCCCAUGUUGGGUG
RNAcentral lists this transfer RNA (73 nucleotides) under Ailuropoda melanoleuca (giant panda). It matches the Rfam family "tRNA". Rfam says of the family: Transfer RNA (tRNA) molecules are approximately 80 nucleotides in length. Their secondary structure includes four short double-helical elements and three loops (D, anti-codon, and T loops). Further hydrogen bonds mediate the characteristic L-shaped molecular structure. tRNAs have two regions of fundamental functional importance: the anti-codon, which is responsible for specific mRNA codon recognition, and the 3' end, to which the tRNAs corresponding amino acid is attached (by aminoacyl-tRNA synthetases). tRNAs cope with the degeneracy of the genetic code in two manners: having more than one tRNA (with a specific anti-codon) for a particular amino acid; and 'wobble' base-pairing, i.e. permitting non-standard base-pairing at the 3rd anti-codon position. Lineage: Eukaryota; Metazoa; Chordata; Mammalia; Carnivora; Ursidae. The record is from Rfam by way of RNAcentral.